This is a long non-coding RNA of Oreochromis niloticus (Nile tilapia), 290 nucleotides long. RefSeq lists it as uncharacterized. NCBI's taxonomy places the organism in Eukaryota, Metazoa, Chordata, Actinopteri, Cichliformes, Cichlidae. The record is from RefSeq and is a predicted model, not a curated record. The transcript is spliced from 4 exons.
GUGGACGAGGAUUACAGAGUUCCUUAUGCAACGACAAAGGUUACUCAAGGGGUGGAGGCAAAGCAGCAAUGGCGGACCGAGAGCUCCUUCAGCUGUUUAUGACACUUCAAUGCAUAUCUCAAGAAUAUCAUGACUGACAAAGAACUAAGUGAUGAAUAUCUAUCCUGACAUUGGAAAUGAUGUCGAGGCCAUUUUACUAGUUUGACAAUGGGGAGAGCAGAAUGAACUUAAAAUUGCACCACUGCGGGAUGUAGAGGCUUAGGGGAGUGAACUGUCAACUCUGCAUUUAG